Denticeps clupeoides (denticle herring) is the source of this 1311-nucleotide long non-coding RNA. NCBI's taxonomy places the organism in Eukaryota, Metazoa, Chordata, Actinopteri, Clupeiformes, Denticipitidae. The record is from Ensembl.
GGUCCGCCUCAUGCUACACUUUAUCUGACAGCGGCAGGCAAAGCCAGCAUGAAUUUUCUCAAAGUGAACAGGACCAGUUCUUAAAGAUCAUGAGCCACUCUCAGCGUGGGAGGAUGGAGGAACAGCGCUGCUACCUCAGUCCCAGCCAGAUGUCCCUUCUGACUGCAAAUCUCCCCGAACCUGGGAAUAAAGCGCCCUCGUUUUCUUUACAGGACCUUCCUGCCCGUCAGGCCUGUCAUAUGCCUGCUGGUGGUGAGGUGCUUUUAGUUCACUGGGCCUCUUGCAAUGGAACAAGUUUUAGAUAUUGCUAAGCCUAACGCAUCUUAAACAGCAUCAUGGAUAAACAGGAUAAAAAAAUAGAAUGUAAAUGCAUCUAUAUUUAUACACAUUUUUCUUUGCUUGUUUGCAGAGUUUUUACAUUUGUUCUACUUUACAAAUCUACAUCAUUUUAAAGAAUUCUCCUUAUAAUAUCUUAUAAGGUGUCAUGCUGAACUGUAUAUGGCCAGAGUGGAGAAGGGACAGGGAUGUAAAGUCACACUGGUGUGUGUGUGGAAAAGACAAUCUGGAUUUGCUGACAUCAAGGGGGCCAAGAGGGUGGUGGUCUUAGUUUAGUGGGUGGGCAUCUCAGAGUAAAGGUAGAUGCUCUAAUGCUUUGAUUAAGGGAUGGUAGCAUCGUAAUGGGUAAAAAAAAAAAGUCCCGGGUUCAAACCCCACUUACUACCACUGUGUCCACGAGUGAGACAUUUAACCCUGAGUGUCUCCAGGGGGACUGUCCCUGUAACUACUGAUUGUAAGUCGUUCCGGAUAAGGUCUUCUAGUAAAGACCUUAAAUGUAAAUGCAAUGAGGUAACCUUUAGCUGAUUAUAUAAAUGCUAAUACACUAUACACAGUUAUAUAUUAUACAUAUACAAAUUAAAUCCAACUUAAAAGUCUUUGAUGUUCCUUUUUCUUGACUACGCAGAUCAAGAUCCUGAACAGUUUUUUAAAAUGGUGACCAACUCUCAGAGUCGCCGACUUGAUGACCAGCGCACAUUUCUACCAUACCUGCCAGGGAUUCAGGGAUCUUCCAGCUCUAAGAAUCAUGAUGAGAUCAAAUCAUCAACUGGAGAAGAAGUUGAGAAGUUGUGCAAAGUGGUGUCCAGGGUCCAGGGCUCCAGAAUGGAAGAGCAGCGUUGCAAUGCACCUGACAUCAUGAUGAAACUGGCCUCUCCAGGCCCACCAAGAAAAAGUCAAUCCAGACCAGCUUCUCCCUCCAGCCACUCACUGCAGGUGCCUUCACUUGACAUCAGGGUUACUGUCAUCUAUAAGUAG